GCAGAGUUCAUCAAGGUAGCAAAAGUGAAGGAGAAGAAGCUCAGAGAAGCUACAGCAGUCUACUUUUGUCUGAUCUACUGGAUAGGGUUAAUUGCCUAAUUCUGAAGCUUCUUCAUCUUUGUCUCCAGCACAUAACUAUCUGAAGAGUCACAACCCAAUAGGAGCUUUUCUGCCUGAAGGUUGGGGGAGAAAUAAUGCUCUACAGCUGGAUACAGUACUGUCUACACUACUAAAAAAAGUAACCUUGAAAAGUAUUUUGUGAGAACACCAUGGCGAUUGUGAGAUGCUGCUGCUUAAAUAGAGUUGAUGGGAACCACAGAUCUGAAUUCUCUGGGCGUCGUUUGGGAACUGCAGCUCUGAGGCCCUGAAUGAUACCAAAAAUAGAUGGAAGAGAACAAUCCCACAGUUGGCUCCCAAGGGAGGGCAGAGCCAUGGCCUUAUAGGGCCUACUAGAGUUCCAGAGGACAGAUUUUUAUGGCUGAAAUACAUAAACUCAUUUGUAAAUAUCACCUGGUAAUAUCCAGAGCAAGAGCUUAUCUGACUAGGGGUGAAAAGACUAUGAAAAAUAUUUGAAUAACAGAUGACAAAUGGGUUUUGCAAGUUGGGAAAUGCUGAUGAGGAGAAUAUUGAAGCAAUAAGACUUUUUGCAAAGCAGAACUUAUUUGCUGUGAAAAAACUACAUGGAUUCUUGGCAAAAAAUGUGUGGUUUUCAUGGUGAGUAAAUUUUAAACUGCAAACAGCUCUACAGAAUAUUACACAGCAGGCUUGGGCAGUGUGUCCUCCCAGGGCUGUUUUUGUGGUCCUGCAAACAAAAGGAUUGUCUAGAAGACUGCAUGAUCUUUUCACAACAUUUGGGGGCCCUGGGACAACCAGGUG
Sceloporus undulatus (fence lizard) is the source of this 876-nucleotide long non-coding RNA. RefSeq lists it as uncharacterized. Lineage: Eukaryota; Metazoa; Chordata; Lepidosauria; Squamata; Phrynosomatidae. The record is from RefSeq and is a predicted model, not a curated record. The transcript is spliced from 3 exons.